GGGCCCGCACAAGCGGUGGAGCAUGUGGUUUAAUUCGAUGAUACGCGAGGAACCUUACCAGGGCUUAAAUGUAAGUUGCAUUAGUUAGAGAUAACUAUUUCUUCGGACACUUACAAGGUGCUGCAUGGUUGUCGUCAGCUCGUGCUGUGAAGUGUCGGGUUAAGUCCCAUAACGAGCGCAACCCCCAUUUCUAGUUGCCAGCGGUUCGGCCGGGAACUCUAGCGAAACUGCCGGUGCAAACCGUGAGGAAGGUGGGGAUGACGUCAAAUCAUCACGGCCCUUACGUCCUGGGCCACACACGUGCUACAAUGGUCAGUACAGAGAGCAGCCACGUACGCGAGUAGGAGCGAAUCUAUAAAACCGGUCUCAGUUCGGAUCGAAGUCUGCAACUCGACUUCGUG
RNAcentral lists this ribosomal RNA (401 nucleotides) under uncultured bacterium. Its description in RNAcentral is "bacterial SSU rRNA". It matches the Rfam family "Bacterial small subunit ribosomal RNA", at positions 917 to 1322 of the family's 1533-position model. The record is from RNAcentral.